This 226-nucleotide ribosomal RNA is filed under the name uncultured bacterium. Its description in RNAcentral is "partial 16S ribosomal RNA". It matches the Rfam family "Bacterial small subunit ribosomal RNA", at positions 109 to 334 of the family's 1533-position model. The record is from RNAcentral.
AGUAACACGUAAGUAAUCUACCUUUGAGUGGGGAAUAACAUCGGGAAACCGAUGCUAAUACCGCAUAAUGCAGCGGCAUCGCAGGAUGACAGUUGUUAAAGAUUUAUCGCUUAAAGAGGAGCUUGCGGCAGAUUAGCUAGUUGGUAAGGUAAUGGCUUACCAAGGCUACGAUCUGUAACCGGUCUAAGAGGACGGUCGGUCACACUGACACUGAAUAACGGGUCAG